GGGACAUUAGCUCAGUUGGUCAGAGCAUUCGGCUCAUAACCGAACGGUCUUAGGUUCGAGUCCUAAAUGUCCCA
RNAcentral lists this transfer RNA (74 nucleotides) under Paludibacteraceae bacterium. RNAcentral describes it as "tRNA-Ile". It matches the Rfam family "tRNA". Rfam says of the family: Transfer RNA (tRNA) molecules are approximately 80 nucleotides in length. Their secondary structure includes four short double-helical elements and three loops (D, anti-codon, and T loops). Lineage: Bacteria; Pseudomonadati; Bacteroidota; Bacteroidia; Bacteroidales; Paludibacteraceae. The record is from RNAcentral.